RNAcentral lists this long non-coding RNA (717 nucleotides) under Chinchilla lanigera (long-tailed chinchilla). RNAcentral describes it as "lncRNA (ENSCLAG00000026154.1)". The record is from RNAcentral. Lineage: Eukaryota; Metazoa; Chordata; Mammalia; Rodentia; Chinchillidae.
GUAAGCUGUGUCUGUCUGAUGCUUUCUUUCCCCUGUACCCAGGCUACUUCCGAUUUUCAAGAAAUAUCUGAACACCGUUCUGCAGCAACUUUACAGAAGAACUUGUUUUCCUGAGAGGCUAGAAUGGGGCUUUGCCAUGAACAAGUGCUGGGCUAGAAAGAGGCCCAACUCUGGCUUUUAGAUCAAACAAUAACCAUUGCUGUCAUUUACCGACAUGACAGAAGCUUUCUCAGACCCCAAGCCCCGUAUGCAGCCCUCGUCCUCAGAGCUCGCCCUUCUCCCACAAGGUUGUUUGGCUGCGACCGCCCAGUCGGAGGAGCCCAGCGACCUUAUUAUCUCUCUCUAACACUGAGGCUCCGAAAGUGCAGAGUGCUAUUAGCAAAUCCUUGGAGACUGCGGAAAGCAGACAGUCCAGUGAUGCUGAACCCCGUUCCCGGGAGACCUGGAAGCAGAGCUGGGCUCCACCUCUGGCCAGCUGAGCACUUGUCCUCAGGCAAAGGACUCGGCCUCUCUAGGCUCCUCUGCAAAACUGGGAAAUAAUAGUAACCGCCUCAUGAACUAGUCAGGAAGACAACCAAGUAUAAUGUAUACAUGGGCUUAGGUUUUUGUUGUUGUUGUUUGUUUUUUGUUUUUGUUUUUGUUUUUUUGGUCUAUUUAAGAUAGAGUCUCGCUAUGCAGUUGAGUUUGGUCUUGAGCUCACUUCGUAGCCCAGGCUGG